GCCUAGGUGGUGGAAUUGGUAGACACGCCAGAUUUAGGAUCUGGUAUCGAGAGGUGUGGGGGUUCGAGUCCCCCCCUGGGCACCA
RNAcentral lists this transfer RNA (85 nucleotides) under Verrucomicrobia bacterium TMED71. RNAcentral describes it as "tRNA-Leu". It matches the Rfam family "tRNA". Rfam says of the family: Transfer RNA (tRNA) molecules are approximately 80 nucleotides in length. Their secondary structure includes four short double-helical elements and three loops (D, anti-codon, and T loops). Further hydrogen bonds mediate the characteristic L-shaped molecular structure. tRNAs have two regions of fundamental functional importance: the anti-codon, which is responsible for specific mRNA codon recognition, and the 3' end, to which the tRNAs corresponding amino acid is attached (by aminoacyl-tRNA synthetases). tRNAs cope with the degeneracy of the genetic code in two manners: having more than one tRNA (with a specific anti-codon) for a particular amino acid; and 'wobble' base-pairing, i.e. permitting non-standard base-pairing at the 3rd anti-codon position. Lineage: Bacteria; Pseudomonadati; Verrucomicrobiota. The record is from RNAcentral. RNAcentral also lists the same sequence under 3 other names.